AAGCUCGUAGUUGAAUUUCGGGGUUCUACCGUUGGUCGGGCUUUGUCUGUACUGGCGUGUAGAAUUUCUACCUUCUGGGGAACCAUUAUGUUAUUAAUUUAGCGUGGUGGGAAACCAGGACCUUUACCUUGAAAAAAUUAGAGUGUUCAAAGCAGGCUUAUGUCUGAAUACAUUAGCAUGGAAUAAUAGAAUAGGACGGUGGUCCUGUUUUGUUGGUUUCUGAAUCACCGCAAUGAUUAAUAGGGAUAGUUGGG
RNAcentral lists this ribosomal RNA (254 nucleotides) under uncultured Scutellospora. RNAcentral's name for it is "partial 18S ribosomal RNA". It matches the Rfam family "Eukaryotic small subunit ribosomal RNA", at positions 624 to 886 of the family's 1831-position model. The record is from RNAcentral. Lineage: Eukaryota; Fungi; Glomeromycota; Glomeromycetes; Diversisporales; Gigasporaceae.